GAUGAACGCUAGCGGCAGGCUUAACACAUGCAAGUCGAGCGGCAGCACAAGGCUGCUUGCUAUCUGGCGGGCGACCGGCGCGCGGGUGCGACACGAGUAUGCUACCUGUCCCAUACAGGAGGCUAACCCGUCGAGAGACGAACGCAUACUGCGUGUGCCUGCAACUUGGCGUCAAUUGGCGAGGAAAGAAAUUCGGGAUAGGACAGGCAUGCGUCCCAUUAGCUUGUUGGUGAGGUAACGACCCACCAAGGCAACGAUGGGUAGGGGAACUGAGGGGUUGAUCCCCCGCACUGGUACUGCGACCCGGACCAGACUCCUACGGGAGGCAGCGGUACGGAAUAUUAGUCAAUGGGCGCGAGCCUGACCCAGCCAAGUCGCGUGAAGGAGGCCUGUCUUAUGGAUUGUAGUCUUCUUUUGUACGAGAAUAGCAAGAGUCACGUGUGACUCCCUGCAUGUACCGUAUGAAUAAGCAUCGGCUAACUCCGUG
This 487-nucleotide ribosomal RNA is filed under the name uncultured bacterium. RNAcentral describes it as "partial 16S ribosomal RNA". It matches the Rfam family "Bacterial small subunit ribosomal RNA", at positions 28 to 507 of the family's 1533-position model. The record is from RNAcentral.